Molecule: ribosomal RNA, 253 nt
Filed under: uncultured bacterium
Lineage: Bacteria
Description: partial 16S ribosomal RNA
Rfam family: Bacterial small subunit ribosomal RNA
Source: RNAcentral
UACGGAGGGUCCAAGCGUUAUCCGGAAUCAUUGGGCUUAAAGGGUCCGUAGGCGGUUUUGUAAGUCAGUGGCGAAAGCCCAUCGCUCAACGGUGGAACGGCCAUUGAUACUGCAAGACUUGAAUUAUUAGGAAGUAACUAGAAUAUGUAGUGUAGCGGUGAAAUGCUUAGAGAUUACAUGGAAUACCAAUUGCGAAGGCAGGUUAUUACUAAUGGAUUGACGCUGAUGGACGAAAGCGUGGGGAGCGAACAGG